CUCAAAAAUCAAUUUUUUCCACUCAAGCAAACUUUCUCUCUUCCCCUACACUCCCCAAACCGAAAUGCUAAGUCCCCUAAACCCCCAUUGUUGCAUUUCUUCUCUUCUUCACAAGUUCAAGAGUACUCACCUCCAUUGAAGGAAGGAGAUCUUCAAGAGUUCUAGCAUUGGCAAAAACAGAAGUGGUUCUAAGGAGAUUUCAAGGUUUGGAAGCUCUUUGGUGCUUUAGUGAGAAUCAAGUUUAAGGGUAUAGAAUCCAAGAAGGAAGUUUGGACAAGCUAAGGACUAUUAUCUCCAAGCAAGAACCAUCAAAGGUAAGCUCAAAGGAAAAAUGGAUCAGUGAGCGCUGGAGUUUAUCUGCAAGAAUGUACAUGUGGACCAACCUUUUGGGGAAAUUAUGUUUUGGUUACUAGAACCCAUCUGAUAACUAAGAAAUUAUUUUGGGCUUGUUGAAUGUUUAAAAUUAUGAUACUGUAAUUUACUUUUAAGUAUGCACAUACUUCCAAACUCUUGCAUGUUUUGAAAAGUUUUUUUUAUAUGGAUUUUCGAUUUCCUUCUUUUAGAAAAUUGUUAUGUUUUUUUUCUUCAGCAAAUUAUGUUAAGAGAAUUACAGGACGUUAUCGUGGAGGGU
Molecule: long non-coding RNA, 631 nt
Organism: Humulus lupulus (European hop)
Lineage: Eukaryota; Viridiplantae; Streptophyta; Magnoliopsida; Rosales; Cannabaceae
Exons: 4
Source: RefSeq, a predicted model, not a curated record